Molecule: ribosomal RNA, 253 nt
Filed under: uncultured bacterium
Lineage: Bacteria
Description: partial 16S ribosomal RNA
Rfam family: Bacterial small subunit ribosomal RNA
Source: RNAcentral
UACGAAGGGGGCUAGCGUUGUUCGGAUUUACUGGGCGUAAAGCGCACGUAGGCGGGUCGUUAAGCCAGGGGUGAAAUCCCGGAGCUCAACUCCGGAACUGCCUUUGAUACUGGCGACCUUGAGGCUGGAAGAGGUUAGUGGAAUUCCCAGUGUAGAGGUGAGAUUCGUAGAUAUUGGGAAGAACACCAGUGGCGAAGGCGGCUAACUGGUCCAGAUCUGACGCUGAGGUGCGAAAGCGUGGGGAGCAAACAGG